This 319-nucleotide ribosomal RNA is filed under the name uncultured bacterium. RNAcentral describes it as "bacterial SSU rRNA". It matches the Rfam family "Bacterial small subunit ribosomal RNA", at positions 32 to 346 of the family's 1533-position model. The record is from RNAcentral.
UUAACGCUAGCGGCAGGCCUAAUACAUGCAAGUCGCACGGGAUUUCGGGGUAGCAAUAUCUGAAUGAGAGUGGCGCACGGGUGCGUAACACGUAUGCAAUCUACCUUUAACUGGGGAAUAGCUCACCGGAAGGUGAACUAAUACCGCAUAAAAUCACAAAAGGACAUCCUUUAAUGAUUAAACCUACGGGGGUUAAAGAUGAGCAUGCGUCCGAUUAGCUAGUUGGCGGGGUAAAGCCCACCAAGGCAACGAUCGGUAGGGGGUCUGAGAGGAUGAUCCCCCACACUGGUACUGAGAUACGGACCAGACUCCUACGGGA